This 520-nucleotide ribosomal RNA is filed under the name uncultured Glomus. RNAcentral describes it as "SSU rRNA". It matches the Rfam family "Eukaryotic small subunit ribosomal RNA", at positions 569 to 1086 of the family's 1831-position model. The record is from RNAcentral. Lineage: Eukaryota; Fungi; Glomeromycota; Glomeromycetes; Glomerales; Glomeraceae.
AGCAGCCGCGGUAAUUCCAGCUCCAAUAGCGUAUAUUAAAGUUGUUGCAGUUAAAAAGCUCGUAGUUGAAUUUCGGGGUUAGUAGGUCGGUCAUGCCUCAGGUAUGCACUGGUCUCACUGAUUCCUCCUUCCUGAUGAGCCGUAAUGCCAUUAAUUUGGUGUUGCGGGGAAUCUGGACUGUUACUUUGAAAAAAUUAGAGUGUUUAAAGCAGGCUCACGCUUGAAUACAUUAGCAUGGAAUAACGAAAUAGGACGUUUGAUUCUAUUUUGUUGGUUUCUAGGAUCGACGUAAUGAUUAAUAGGGAUAGUUGGGGGCAUUAGUAUUCAAUUGUCAGAGGUGAAAUUCUUGGAUUUAUUGAAGACUAACUACUGCGAAGGCAUUUGCCAAGGAUGUUUUCAUUAAUCAAGAACGAAAGUUAGGGGAUCGAAGACGAUCAGAUACCGUCGUAGUCCUUAACCAUAAACCUAUAGCCGACUAGGGAUCGGAUGAUGUUAAUUUUUAAUGUACUUCUUUCGGCGU